Molecule: long non-coding RNA, 552 nt
Organism: Brassica oleracea var. oleracea
Lineage: Eukaryota; Viridiplantae; Streptophyta; Magnoliopsida; Brassicales; Brassicaceae
Exons: 4
Source: RefSeq, a predicted model, not a curated record
CAGAAAAAAAUAAAAACUUUACCUCGCUCUCUCGGACUCUCCGAUCUUUCUCUCUCAACACCAACUAGUCACCUCCGACUCUCCUUCUCGUUCUCUCCUCUGACCAGAAUCCUCAUGGCUUCCACCUGACUACUCACGAAUCGUUGUCGCAUACGAUCACCCGAGUUAAAUCUCCUCGAUCCCCAUUGACAAGUGAUGGUACGUUUGUACUUAUUACUCCAGCUCGACCAUGAAGAGGAGGUUCCAACUCAAAAACAUCAGUCACCACUUAUGCGAGUUCAUGCUUAUUUCUCGAUAGCCAAGCCAUAUAAAGGCUAGUUGGAGCCUGGGUUUUAAAUAGCGUAUGGACGAGGUGCUCGACUCUCGCCAAGCGCCAUGGCGAGAAAAGUCAAUCGUCAUGUGUUAAACACAUGCAAAAAAUAUCAAUUUUAUGUUUCCAAUUCUAAGUUAUGUUAAGCUGUUGUUAAAGACAGUAAAGAGAAAACCAAAACAUCAAUUUCACUGAUAGCAUAAAAGCUUAAAGCCAAAACACCAAUUCGAGUACGUGUAAUC